CCUACGGGCGGCAGCAGUGAGGAAUAUUGGUCAAUGGACGAGAGUCUGAACCAGCCAAGUACCGUGAAGGAUGACUGCCCUAUGGGUUGUAAACUUCUUUUAUAUGGGAAUAAAAUGUUCCACGUGUGGGAUUUUGUAUGUACCAUAUGAAUAAGGAUCGGCUAACUCCGUGCCAGCAGCCGCGGUAAUACGGAGGAUCCGAGCGUUAUCCGGAUUUAUUGGGUUUAAAGGGAGCGUAGGUGGAUUGUUAAGUCAGUUGUGAAAGUUUGCGGCUCAACCGUAAAAUUGCAGUUGAAACUGGCAGUCUUGAGUACAGUAGAGGUGGGCGGAAUUCGUGGUGUAGCGGUGAAAUGCUUAGAUAUCACGAAGAACUCCGAUUGCGAAGGCAGUUCACUGGACUGCAACUGACACUGAGGCUCGAAAGUGUGGGUAUCAAACAGGAUUAGAUACCCCAGUAGUC
RNAcentral lists this ribosomal RNA (460 nucleotides) under uncultured bacterium. Its description in RNAcentral is "partial 16S ribosomal RNA". It matches the Rfam family "Bacterial small subunit ribosomal RNA", at positions 338 to 795 of the family's 1533-position model. The record is from RNAcentral.